GACGAACGCUGGCGGCGUGCUUAACACAUGCAAGUCGAACGGAAAGGCCCUGCUUUUGUGGGGUUCUCGAGUGGCGAACGGGUGAGUAACACGUGAGUAACCUGCCCUUGACUUUGGGAUAACUUCAGGAAACUGGGGCUAAUACCGGAUAGGAGCUUCUGCUGCAUAGUGGGGGUUGGAAAGUUUCGGCGUUUGGGGAUGGACGCGAGGCUUAUCAGCUUGUUGGUGGGGUGGUGGCUUACCAAGGCUUCGACGGGUAGCCGGCCUGGGAGGGUGACCGGGCACAUUGGGCCUGGGAUACGACCCAGACUCCUACGGGAGGCAGCAGUGGGAAAUAUUGCAAGAUGGGCCGAAGCCUGAUGCAGCAACGCCGCGUGCGGGAUGACGGCUGUCGGGUUGUAAACCGCUUUCGCCUGUGACGAAGCGUGAGUGACGGUAACGGGUAAAGAAGCACCGGCUAACUACGUG
Molecule: ribosomal RNA, 468 nt
Filed under: uncultured bacterium
Lineage: Bacteria
Description: partial 16S ribosomal RNA
Rfam family: Bacterial small subunit ribosomal RNA
Source: RNAcentral